AAAUCAUUUAUAUAUAAUUUAUAUAUUAUAUAAAUAGUA
Molecule: transfer RNA, 39 nt
Filed under: Zygaena johannae johannae
Lineage: Eukaryota; Metazoa; Arthropoda; Insecta; Lepidoptera; Zygaenidae
Description: partial transfer RNA-Leu (CUN)
Source: RNAcentral